Molecule: ribosomal RNA, 493 nt
Filed under: uncultured bacterium
Lineage: Bacteria
Description: partial 16S ribosomal RNA
Rfam family: Bacterial small subunit ribosomal RNA
Source: RNAcentral
AUUGAACGCUGGCGGCAUGCUUUACACAUGCAAGUCGAACGGUAACAGGUUAAGCUGACGAGUGGCGAACGGGUGAGUAAUGCAUCGGAACGUGCCCGGUCGUGGGGGAUAACGCAGCGAAAGCUGCGCUAAUACCGCAUACGAUCUAAGGAUGAAAGCGGGGGACCGUAAGGCCUCGCGCGAUCGGAGCGGCCGAUGUCAGAUUAGGUAGUUGGUGGGGCAAAGGCUCACCAAGCCAACGAUCUGUAGCUGGUCUGAGAGGACGACCAGCCACGCUGGGACUGAGAAACGGCCCAGACUCCUACGGGAGGCAGCAGUGGAGAAUUUUGGACAAUGGGCGAAAGCCUGAUCGAGCAAUGCCGCGUGCAGGAAGAAUGCCAUCGUGUUGUAAACUGCUUUUGUACGGAGCGAAAAGGUCUCCUCUAAUACAGGGGGCUCAUGACGGUACCGUAAGAAUAAGCACCGGCUAACUACGUGCCAGCCGCCGCCGUAA